This 484-nucleotide ribosomal RNA is filed under the name uncultured bacterium. RNAcentral describes it as "partial 16S ribosomal RNA". It matches the Rfam family "Bacterial small subunit ribosomal RNA", at positions 30 to 507 of the family's 1533-position model. The record is from RNAcentral.
AUUGAACGCUGGCGGCAGGCCUAACACAUGCAAGUCGAGCGGAUGAAGGGAGCUUGCUCCUGGAUUCAGCGGCGGACGGGUGAGUAAUGCCUAGGAAUCUGCCUGGUAGUGGGGGAUAACGUCCGGAAACGGGCGCUGAUACCGCAUGCGUCCUGCGGGUGAAAGUGGGGGAUCUUCGGACCUCACGCUAUCAGAUGAGCCUAGGUCCGAUUAGCUAGUUGGUGGGUUAAAGGCCUACCAAGGCGACCAUCCGUAACUGGUCUGAGAGGAGGAUCAGUCACACUGGAACGGGGACAGGGUCCAGACGCCUACGGGAGGCAGCAGUGGGGAAUAUUGGACAAUGGGCGAAAGCCUGAUCCAGCCAGGCCGCGUGUGUGGAGAAGGUCUUCGGAUUGUAAAGCACUUCAAGUUGGGAGGAAGGGCAGUAAGUUAAUACCUUGCUGUUUUGACGUUACUAACAGAAUAAGCACCGGCUAACUUCGUG